Molecule: ribosomal RNA, 253 nt
Filed under: uncultured microorganism
Description: partial 16S ribosomal RNA
Rfam family: Bacterial small subunit ribosomal RNA
Source: RNAcentral
UACGUAGGGUGCGAGCGUUAAUCGGAUUUACUGGGCGUAAAGCGUGCGCAGGCGGCCCGUUAAGACAGGUGAGAAAUCCCUGGGCUCAACCUAGGAAUUGCGCUUGUGACUGGCGGGCUCGAGUACGGUAGAGGGGGGUGGAAUUCCUGGUGUAGCAGUGAAAUGCGUAGAGAUCAGGAGGAACACCGAUGGCGAAGGCAGCCCCCUGGGCCUGUACUGACGCUCAUGCACGAAAGCGUGGGGAGCAAACAGG